ACAUCCAGAGAAUUUAGCAGAGAUGCUUUAGUGCCUUCGGGAACUCUGAGACAGGUGCUGCAUGGCUGUCGUCAGCUCGUGUUGUGAAAUGUUGGGUUAAGUCCCGNAACGAGCGCAACCCCUAUCCUUUGUUGCCAGCGAUUCGGUCGGGAACUCAAAGGAGACUGCCGGUGAUAAACCGGAGGAAGGUGGGGAUGACGUCAAGUCAUCAUGGCCCUUACGAGUAGGGCUACACACGUGCUACAAUGGCGCAUACAAAGAGAAGCGACCUCGCGAGAGCAAGCGGACCUCAUAAAGUGCGUCGUAGUCCGGAUUGGAGUCUGCAACUCGACUCCAUGAAGUCGGAAUCGCUAGUAAUCGUAGAUCAGAAUGCUACGGUGAAUACGUUCCCGGGCCUUGUACACACCGCCCGUCACACCAUGGGAGUGGGUUGCAAAAGAAGUAGAUAGCUUAACCUUCGGGAGGGCGUUUACCACUUUGUGAUUCAUGACUGGGGUGAAGUCGUAACAAGGUAAGCGUACGUGU
Molecule: ribosomal RNA, 525 nt
Filed under: uncultured bacterium
Lineage: Bacteria
Description: bacterial SSU rRNA
Rfam family: Bacterial small subunit ribosomal RNA
Source: RNAcentral